RNAcentral lists this ribosomal RNA (253 nucleotides) under uncultured bacterium. Its description in RNAcentral is "partial 16S ribosomal RNA". It matches the Rfam family "Bacterial small subunit ribosomal RNA", at positions 524 to 776 of the family's 1533-position model. The record is from RNAcentral.
UACGGAGACCUCGAGCGUUACUCGGAUUCACUGGGCGUAAAGGGUGCGCAGGCUGAGACGUGUGUCAGGUGUGAAAUCCCAGGGCUCAACUCUGGAACUGCGCCUGAAACUGCGUUUCUUGAGACUUGGAGAGGUAAGCGGAAUUUGUGGUGUAGCGGUGAAAUGCGUAGAUAUCACAAGGAAGACCAACUGCGAAGGCAGCUUACUGGACAAGAACUGACGCUGAGGCACGAAAGCGUGGGUAGCGAAAGGG